RNAcentral lists this long non-coding RNA (743 nucleotides) under Triticum aestivum (bread wheat). RNAcentral describes it as "long non-coding RNA (TAES_LNC018316)". Lineage: Eukaryota; Viridiplantae; Streptophyta; Magnoliopsida; Poales; Poaceae. The record is from RNAcentral.
UCAGGUACUGCUCCACGUACAGAGGCCACGACACGCCAUGCCACGGGCACGGGCUCUUCAGCAUCGAAUUCCAUCGGUAUGUGAGUAUGUCACGAAGCAGCAUGUGUACAAUGUCAUCAAACGCCUCCGAGUCAGUGUUGACGACAACCUUGUCCACACGGCAGGCACAGAGUGAGCAGAAGCAGUGUGGCCAUGGACGUUAAGUACCCAUACGUCGGCACUGCGAGCUCGCGGGCCGCGUCCAUCAUGGUGGUAGCAAAGAAGUCUAUGAUGAGCGCGACGGAGAUCCGCCAUGCCGGCCCUGAUGUGGUUUGUUUUCAUAGAUGUGCAACGCCCCUUCUUUCCUACAGUUGUUGAGAAUUUCCCUCAUAAAAAUCAGAGUUUGUUUUCACUUAAUAGCAGGAAAGGAAGAUGAGCCUUUGGAUCUGCUUGGACGGUACGAACCACUGCAGAGGAGCCGAACUCCAGAAGGGGUGGCAGCAAUGACAAAUUAGUGGCAGAACUGAGACCACGAAAAAAAUUAUGGUUAAAACUUAUUUCGACGGGCAGAAUAUAUUGUGCAUUUUGAAACGGAGGAAGAUAAGAGAUGAUAGAAUAGCACUGGUGGAUCUCUAUUACUCUCGGAUAAUCUCUCGCGGUAGUUUGAUUUGGUAGCGAUUACAGAAGACCUACAAGAAUGGGGAAGAACAGGGGGGAAUCUUGGGAGAGGGGAAAGUAGUUGGUAGCGGCCGGGUUCGCGGUUG